GCAUAUCAAUAAGCGGAGGAAAAGAAACCAACAGGGAUUGCCUCAGUAACGGCGAGUGAAGCGGCAACAGCUCAAAUUUGAAAUCUGGCUCCUUCGGGGCCCGAGUUGUAAUUUGGAGAAGAUGCUUCGGGUGUGGUCCCGGCCUAAGUUCCUUGGAACAGGACGUCACAGAGGGUGAGAAUCCCGUACGUGGCCGGUGGCCGCUCCCGUGUGAAGCUCUUUCGACGAGUCGAGUUGUUUGGGAAUGCAGCUCAAAAUGGGUGGUAAAUUUCAUCUAAAGCUAAAUAUUGGCCAGAGACCGAUAGCGCACAAGUAGAGUGAUCGAAAGAUGAAAAGCACUUUGGAAAGAGAGUUAAACAGUACGUGAAAUUGUUGAAAGGGAAGCGCUUGCAACCAGACUUGCGCGGGGUUGAUCAUCUGGUGCUCGCACCGGUGCACUCGACCCCGCGCAGGCCAGCAUCGGUUUGGGCGGCUGGAUAAAGGUCCUAGGAACGUGGCCCCCUUCGGGGGGUGUUAUAGCCUAGGGCGCAAUGCAGCCUGCCCGGACCGAGGACCGCGCUUCGGCUAGGAUGCUGGCGUAAUGGUUGUCAGCGACCCGUCUUGAAACACGGACC
This 614-nucleotide ribosomal RNA is filed under the name [Malbranchea] circinata. Its description in RNAcentral is "LSU rRNA". It matches the Rfam family "Eukaryotic large subunit ribosomal RNA", at positions 38 to 667 of the family's 3401-position model. The record is from RNAcentral. Lineage: Eukaryota; Fungi; Ascomycota; Eurotiomycetes; Onygenales; Malbrancheaceae.